Molecule: ribosomal RNA, 1913 nt
Filed under: Candidatus Cryptobacteroides intestinavium
Lineage: Bacteria; Pseudomonadati; Bacteroidota; Bacteroidia; Bacteroidales
Description: partial 23S ribosomal RNA
Rfam family: Bacterial large subunit ribosomal RNA
Source: RNAcentral
AGAGAAGGUUACAAGGGCGGACGGGGGAUGCCUUGGCUUCCGGAGGCGAGGAAGGACGUGGCAAGCUGCGAAAAGGCGCGGGGAUCCGCAAGCAGGAAGCGAUCCGCGCAUGUCCGAAUGGGGUAACCCGGCGGGCCGAAGGCCCGUCACCAGACUAUCGGUCUGGGGCGAACGCAGGGAACUGAAACAUCUCAGUACCUGCAGGAGGAGAAAGAAACAUCGAUUCCCGGAGUAGUGGCGAGCGAAACGGGAACAGCCCAAACCGACGGCGUCGAGGCGGCGUCGGGGUUGUAGGACCGACCAUAGGGUAUCCAGAGGGAACCGGAACGGCCUGGAAAGGCCGGCCGUGGAGGGUGAAAGCCCCGUACGGGCAACCUGCUGGAGACGAGGGCGGCACCUGAGUAUGGCGGGACACGAGGAAUCCUGUCAGAACCAGCGGCGACCAAGCCGCAAGGCUAAACACUACCGGAAGACCGACAGCGAACCAGUACCGUGAGGGAAAGGUGGGAAGCACCCCGGGCAGGGGAGUGAAAUAGAACCUGAAACCGUCCGUCUACAAGCGGUCGGAGCGGAGCGAUCCGCGACGGCGUGCCUUUUGCAUAAUGAGCCUACGAGUUGCCGUGUCCGGCGAGGUUAAUGGCCUGAGGCCAGUGAGCCGGAGCGAGAGCGAGUCUGAACAGGGCGUUCAGUCGGGCGCGGCAGACGCGAAACCUAGUGAUCUACCCUUGGCCAGGCUGAAGGGACCGUAACAGGUUCUGGAGGGCCGCACCGGUUUACGUUGAAAAGUGCUCGGAUGAGCUGAGGGUAGGGGUGAAAGGCUAAUCAAACUGGGAGAUAGCUCGUACUCCCCGAAAUGCCUUUAGGGGCAGCCUCGCGAGAGCUUCACGGAGGUAGAGCGACUGAUAGGAUGAGAGGGCUUCGCCGCCUGUCGAGUCCUGACAAACUCCGAAUGCCGAGAAGUGGUUCGCGGGAGUGAGUCACCGGGUGCUAAUGUCCGGUGGCGAGAGGGAAAGAGCCCAGACCCACGGCCAAGGUCCCUAAGACCGGUCUAAGUUGAUAGAACGAGGUGACACCGCAGCGACAGCUAGGAUGUUAGCUUGGAAGCAGCUAUUCAUUUAAAGAGUGCGUAACAGCUCACUAGUCGAGCGGUGACGCGUGGAUGAUGAACGGGCAUCAAGACCGGCACCGAAGCCAGGGACUGCUCUAAUGAGCAGUGGUAGGGGAGCAUUGCGGACAGCGUCGAAGGCCUGCCGGGAGGCAGACUGGAGCGUCCGGAAAAGAAAAUGUAGGCAUGAGUAACGACAACGCGCGGGAGAACGCGCGCACCGACAACCCAAGGAUUCCUGAUCAACGCUAGACGGAUCAGGGUAAGCCGGGACCUAAGGGGAACCCGAGAGGGGCACCCGAUGGACAGGCGGUCAAGAUUCCGCCGCCUGCACGCCGGGACGAGGGGAGACCGAGGAGUGACACUGCCGCCCACUGACGGAAUAGUGGGUUGAAGGGGGUAGGGCGACCGAACCCCGACAGUACCGCGACCCCACGGGGGAGCGGAGAGCGCAGGUAACCAUACUCGCUAGAAAAUCCCCGAGUCGCGCAGAGGCGUGCAGCCCGUACCGUAAACCGACACAGGUGGGUGAGGAGAGAAUCCUAAGGUGCUCGAGUGAAUCACGGCUAAGGAACUAGGCAAAUUGACCCCGUAACUUCGGGAUAAGGGGACCUCCCUGGGAGGGGAGGCGCAGAGAAAUGGCCCAGGCGACUGUUUACCAAAAACACAUGGCUAUGCGAAAUCGCAAGAUGACGAAUAUGGCCUGACACCUGCCCGGUGCCGGAAGGUUAAGAGGGGGGCUUAGCGCGAGCGAAGGCCUGAAUCGAAGCCCCGGUAAACGGCGGCCGUAACUAUAACGGUCCUAAGG